RNAcentral lists this long non-coding RNA (1925 nucleotides) under Felis catus (domestic cat). RNAcentral's name for it is "lncRNA (ENSFCAG00000053616.1)". The record is from RNAcentral. Lineage: Eukaryota; Metazoa; Chordata; Mammalia; Carnivora; Felidae.
CACCGUCUCCGGCAGGCAGGCUCUGGGGUCUGGGCGCCUCCGCGGCCUGCCCGGGCCCGCUCUUCCACUCGGUCCCCCAGUUAGCCGCGCUUCUCAGUAGCUCCAAAGCUAUACAGACAAUUUGUUUAGUGAAGCUCCUCAGACAAUGGAAAGUUACGAGGUUUCCUGGAUGUUGUGUUCGGGAGGCGGGGCCGGGACCCGCUGAAGGCGGUUUCCCCAGCCCCGUUCCCCCCCUCUCUGCCCCCCUCAGCCACCGGGCAGCAGAAAGAGGCGGCCAGCCUUCUCCUGCCCUUCAGCUGGAGGACCUACGGCUGCCGCGCCCGCCACCUCUGCACCUGCCAGGCUGAGGAAAGGAGAGACCGCCGCGGCGUGGGUCUUCCGUCAGUCUUCCGGCUUCCCGCGGGCCGGCCCCAAAGGGCGCAGGGAGCCCAGUGGGGACGUGGCGGUCCUGCUACGCGCCUUUGCUCGGGAGGUGGGUUCAGCAGACGCGCGAGAAAAAGCCCUCACCUCUGCCUCCCGGCUCCACGAGAACCUGGCGGCGAACGCCCAGGGGCGGCCGGCCCCUCCCUGGGAUUCAACCCAACCUGGAUUCAGCCUCUUCGGCCGCAAAAACUCCCAAGCCCCGCAGCCUCGCCGUGCACCUCUCGCGGCUUCCAGCGCUGGGGCCCCCGCACACUUCCGAGCUUCUGGCGUGGCAGCCCCUGGCUUCCUUUAAGGAAGGCGCGAGGGGGCCCAAGGGACCUCCGGCCUAAUCGACCAGGACCGCAUAGUCUCCCAGUGGACCUUAGAAACAAGCCCACAAUCAAGAUCCUCGCUACCUUCUGCCUGGGAAGCCCGGGACUGACCCGAGUCCCCGAAUAAUCCGAAUCCUAACCUAGUUGUCCCCAGUUUUUCCCGCAGAGCAGAAGAGACCUGCCAGCCUGAGCGCAGAGGGGGCUGACAAGGAGCCUCUCUCUGGCGGCUACUUGGUAGGAACUUGGCGUUUUGCUGGCGUCUCCGCGUUUUAUCCGCGUAUUUGGUUGACCCUACGGUCGGUGAUUAGCCACCCAGGCCCUCCCGCUCACCACGCCCCGUGCGGCCCGGGAGUCAAUGUUUUGGCAGGAGCCUCGGGGGCUCUGAACGUCUUGCGAGCGAGCGGAGUUGGCGAAGGCAAGGUUUCUCCACGCGCCCAGAACGAGCGCCGUUACGCGCUUCCCCGCUGCGCACCCCGCGAAGUUGGAGGAGGAAGAAAAUUUUAAAUACAUUGGCCAAAACUCAUUCUUGAGAACACUUUGAAGUUGGGUAACUCGGACUGCGCUACUCUGCCCCGCUCCCUCCCCCAACUCCCUGCGCAGCCAGAUGCACCAGAAAGCGGCACUUUGAUCUUGCAAAGCAGUAAUUCACAUUUCUUUUUUUUUUUUAAAUUUUUUUCUGUAAAGAAGAUGAUGGGACCGGGGUGAACAUAAUACAAUUCCACCGGCGCGCGGUUGAGGAGCGGUUUUCUGGGCCGGGCCAGGGCUGGGCCCGGGAUGCCGGCACAUCUGUUCGCCCGGGUUUGCCGCAUUCCAGGCUUUUUUCUUCCUCUCCCUCGGUGGACCGGUCCGCGUGAUUCACCCCAGGCAGGAAGCUGGGCUUUAUUUGUCUUUGACCUGGAGAUGCUAGGAGAGGUGUGGAGAGGUUGGCCGGGGCGGGGGUGGGGAAUUGCCGUCGGAAAAGCUCUGAGGCUUUCCUUGAUUUGACUUGGAAGAGAGGGGAGGAGCUCAGAGAGUAAAAGCGCCUCCUGCCUUCCAGCGAAGCACUCGGUACCCUCUACCCUCUUCCUUCCAGGAAAGAGGUGAGGGCAGCUGCAGACUCUGUGGGUGCAGGGCCAACAUCAACCCGUACCGUCGGUCUUUCCCGCCACAGGGAUUUACUGAAAUAAAACCGACGUGCAACUUUGUCUGGCA